CUGUUCCCAUUCCGAACACAGAAGUUAAGCUCUCUAGCGCUGAUGGUACUUGGUGGGAAACUGCCUGGGAGAGUAGGACGUAGCCACGU
RNAcentral lists this ribosomal RNA (89 nucleotides) under Clostridioides difficile. The record is from RNAcentral. Lineage: Bacteria; Bacillati; Bacillota; Clostridia; Peptostreptococcales; Peptostreptococcaceae. RNAcentral also lists the same sequence under 1 other name.